Molecule: ribosomal RNA, 240 nt
Filed under: uncultured bacterium
Lineage: Bacteria
Description: partial 16S ribosomal RNA
Rfam family: Bacterial small subunit ribosomal RNA
Source: RNAcentral
GACGAACGCUGGCGGCGUGCUUAACACAUGCAAGUCAUGGGGGGUGCAGCAAUGCACAACCGGCGAACGGGUGCGUAACACGUGAGCAACCUACCGAUUUGUGGGGGAUAGCCGGGCCUAACGGCCGAGUAAUACCGCAUACGCUUAGGGCGCCGCAUGGCCGCCCUAAGCAAACUCUAUAUGAGGCAAACCGNGGGGCUCGCGUCCUAUCAGCUAGUUGGCGAGGUCACGGCUCACCAA